GAUGAACGCUGGCGGCGUGCCUAAUACAUGCAAGUCGAGCGAACAGACGAGGAGCUUGCUCCUUUGACGUUAGCGGCGGACGGGUGAGUAACACGUAGGUAACCUACCUAUAAGACUGGGAUAACUUCGGGAAACCGGAGCUAAUACCGGAUAAUAUUUCGAACCGCAUGGUUCAAUAGUGAAAGAUGGCUUUGCUAUCACUUAUAGAUGGACCUGCGCUGCAUUAGCUAGUUGGUAAGGUAACGGCUUACCAAGGCAACGAUACGUAGCCGACCUGAGAGGGUGAUCGGCCACACUGGAACUGAGACACGGUCCAGACUCCUACGGGAGGCAGCAGUAGGGAAUCUUCCGCAAUGGGCGAAAGCCUGACGGAGCAACGCCGCGUGAGUGAUGAAGGUCUUCGGAUCGUAAAACUCUGUUAUUAGGGAAGAACAAACGUGUAAGUAACUGUGCACGUCUUGACGGUACCUAAUCAGAAAGCCACGGCUAACUACGUG
RNAcentral lists this ribosomal RNA (497 nucleotides) under uncultured bacterium. RNAcentral describes it as "partial 16S ribosomal RNA". It matches the Rfam family "Bacterial small subunit ribosomal RNA", at positions 28 to 507 of the family's 1533-position model. The record is from RNAcentral.